This 427-nucleotide ribosomal RNA is filed under the name uncultured archaeon. RNAcentral describes it as "bacterial SSU rRNA". It matches the Rfam family "Archaeal small subunit ribosomal RNA", at positions 474 to 903 of the family's 1478-position model. The record is from RNAcentral.
AACCAGCUCUUCAAGUGGUCGGUAUAAUUAUUGGGCUUAAAGUGUCCGUAGCCGGUUUAGUAAGUUCCUGGUAAAAUCGGGUAGCUUAACUAUCUGUAUGCUAGGAAUACUGCUAUACUAGAGGGCGGGAGAGGUCUGAGGUACUACAGGGGUAGGGGUGAAAUCUUAUAAUCCUUGUAGGACCACCAGUGGCGAAGGCGUCAGACUGGAACGCGCCUGACGGUGAGGGACGAAAGCCAGGGGAGCGAACCGGAUUAGAUACCCGGGUAGUCCUGGCCGUAAACGAUGCAUACUAGGUGAUGGCAUGGCUAUGAGCCGUGUCAGUGCCGUAGGGAAACCGUUAAGUGUGCCGCCUGGGAAGUACGGUCGCAAGGCUAAAACUUAAAGGAAUUGGCGGGGAGCACCACAAGGGUGAAGCCUGCGGUUC